UCCGAUAUGGUCUAGUGGCUAGGAUUUGCCGCUCUCAUCAAGCCUCUGGCUUCUGAGUGUCCGGCAAGGCCCGGGUUCGAUUCCCGGUGUCGGAA
Molecule: transfer RNA, 95 nt
Filed under: Sporormia fimetaria CBS 119925
Lineage: Eukaryota; Fungi; Ascomycota; Dothideomycetes; Pleosporales; Sporormiaceae
Description: tRNA-Glu
Rfam family: tRNA
About the family: Transfer RNA (tRNA) molecules are approximately 80 nucleotides in length. Their secondary structure includes four short double-helical elements and three loops (D, anti-codon, and T loops).
Source: RNAcentral